CUACGGGGGGCUGCAGUGGGGAAUAUUGCAUAAUGGGCGCAAGCCUGAUGCAGCCAUGCCGCGUGUAUGAAGAAGGCCUUCGGGUUGUAAAGUACUUUCAGCGGGGAGGAAGGGAGUAAAGUUAAUACCUUUGCUCAUCGACGUUACCCGCAGAAGAAGCACCGGCUAACUCCGUGCCAGCAGCCGCGGUAAUACGGAGGGUGCAAGCGUUAAUCGGAAUUACUGGGCGUAAAGCGCACGCAGGCGGUUUGUUAAGUCAGAUGUGAAAUCCCCGGGCUCAACCUGGGAACUGCAUCUGAUACUGGCAAGCUUGAGUCUCGUAGAGGGGGGUAGAAUUCCAGGUGUAGCGGUGAAAUGCGUAGAGAUCUGGAGGAAUACCGGUGGCGAAGGCGGCCCCCUGGACGAAGACUGACGCUCAGGUGCGAAAGCGUGGGGAGCAAACAGGAUUAGAUACCCGGGUAGUC
RNAcentral lists this ribosomal RNA (464 nucleotides) under uncultured bacterium. RNAcentral describes it as "partial 16S ribosomal RNA". It matches the Rfam family "Bacterial small subunit ribosomal RNA", at positions 339 to 795 of the family's 1533-position model. The record is from RNAcentral.